UAGUAUCUGUUCUUAUCAGUUUAAUAUCUGAUAUGUCCCCGAAAAGGGGACUUCAUAUUUAACCCAUUUUUGCACUCUGGAGCUGUAAUGGGAGCUUGCUCCAUUGACUCCACGCAUUAGCCCAGUAUUGCAGUACCUCUGGGAGUAGUGC
This 151-nucleotide small nuclear RNA is filed under the name Tetraodon nigroviridis (spotted green pufferfish). RNAcentral's name for it is "U2 spliceosomal RNA (ENSTNIG00000019991.1)". It matches the Rfam family "U2 spliceosomal RNA", at positions 34 to 185 of the family's 192-position model. From Rfam's summary of the family: U2 is a small nuclear RNA (snRNA) component of the spliceosome (involved in pre-mRNA splicing). Complementary binding between U2 snRNA (in an area lying towards the 5' end but 3' to hairpin I) and the branchpoint sequence (BPS) of the intron results the bulging out of an unpaired adenosine, on the BPS, which initiates a nucleophilic attack at the intronic 5' splice site, thus starting the first of two transesterification reactions that mediate splicing. The record is from RNAcentral. Lineage: Eukaryota; Metazoa; Chordata; Actinopteri; Tetraodontiformes; Tetraodontidae.